Molecule: ribosomal RNA, 468 nt
Filed under: uncultured bacterium
Lineage: Bacteria
Description: partial 16S ribosomal RNA
Rfam family: Bacterial small subunit ribosomal RNA
Source: RNAcentral
GACGAACGCUGGCGGCGUGCUUAACACGUGCAAGUCGAACGGAAAGGCCCUGCUUUUGUGGGGUGCUCGAGUGGCGAACGGGUGAGUAACACGUGAGUAACCUGCCCUUGACUUUGGGAUAACUUCAGGAAACUGGGGCUAAUACCGGAUAGGAGCUCCUGCUGCAUGGUGGGGGUUGGAAAGUUUCGGCGGUUGGGGAUGGACUCGCGGCUUAUCAGCUUGUUGGUGGGGUAGUGGCUUACCAAGGCUUUGACGGGUAGCCGGCCUGAGAGGGUGACCGGCCACAUUGGGACUGAGAUACGGCCCAGACUCCUACGGGAGGCAGCAGUGGGGAAUAUUGCACAAUGGGCGGAAGCCUGAUGCAGCAACGCCGCGUGCGGGAUGACGGCCUUCGGGUUGUAAACCGCUUUCGCCUGUGACGGAGCGUGAGUGACGGUAAUGGGUAAAGAAGCACCGGCUAACUACGUG